Molecule: ribosomal RNA, 496 nt
Filed under: uncultured bacterium
Lineage: Bacteria
Description: partial 16S ribosomal RNA
Rfam family: Bacterial small subunit ribosomal RNA
Source: RNAcentral
AUUGAACGCUGGCGGAAUGCUUUACACAUGCAAGUCGAACGGUAGAGGGGGCAACCCCUCGAGAGUGGCGAACGGGUGAGUAAUAUAUCGGAACGUGCCCAGUCGUGGGGGAUAACGUAGCGAAAGUUACGCUAAUACCGCAUACGAUCUAAGGAUGAAAGCGGGGGAUCGCAAGACCUCGCGCGAUUGGAGCGGCCGAUAUCAGAUUAGGUAGUUGGUGGGGUAAAGGCUCACCAAGCCAACGAUCUGUAGCUGGUCUGAGAGGACGACCAGCCACACUGGAACUGAGACACGGUCCAGACUCCUACGGGAGGCAGCAGUGGGGAAUUUUGGACAAUGGACGCAAGUCUGAUCCAGCCAUUCCGCGUGCAGGAUGAAGGCCCUCGGGUUGUAAACUGCUUUUGUACGGAACGAAAAGGUCUCUCUUAAUACGGGGGGCUCAUGACGGUACCGUAAGAGUAAGCACUGGCUAACUACGUGCCAGCCGCCGCGGUAA